GUUGUGGCUGGCUCAGUUGGUGGAGCACUUGCCUAGCACAUGUGAGGUCCUGGGUUCGAUUCUCAGCACCACA
RNAcentral lists this transfer RNA (73 nucleotides) under Marmota monax (woodchuck). Its description in RNAcentral is "tRNA.Ala". The record is from RNAcentral. Lineage: Eukaryota; Metazoa; Chordata; Mammalia; Rodentia; Sciuridae.